Molecule: transfer RNA, 70 nt
Filed under: Loxodonta africana (African savanna elephant)
Lineage: Eukaryota; Metazoa; Chordata; Mammalia; Proboscidea; Elephantidae
Rfam family: tRNA
About the family: Transfer RNA (tRNA) molecules are approximately 80 nucleotides in length. Their secondary structure includes four short double-helical elements and three loops (D, anti-codon, and T loops). Further hydrogen bonds mediate the characteristic L-shaped molecular structure. tRNAs have two regions of fundamental functional importance: the anti-codon, which is responsible for specific mRNA codon recognition, and the 3' end, to which the tRNAs corresponding amino acid is attached (by aminoacyl-tRNA synthetases). tRNAs cope with the degeneracy of the genetic code in two manners: having more than one tRNA (with a specific anti-codon) for a particular amino acid; and 'wobble' base-pairing, i.e. permitting non-standard base-pairing at the 3rd anti-codon position.
Source: Rfam by way of RNAcentral
GGACAGGUGGUUUGGUGGUAGAAUUCUUGCUUUCCAUGCAAGAGACCCAGGUUCAAUUCCCAGCUGUCUU